This 253-nucleotide ribosomal RNA is filed under the name uncultured bacterium. RNAcentral describes it as "partial 16S ribosomal RNA". It matches the Rfam family "Bacterial small subunit ribosomal RNA", at positions 524 to 776 of the family's 1533-position model. The record is from RNAcentral.
UACGUAGGUGGCAAGCGUUGUCCGGAUUUACUGGGCGUAAAGGCUGCGUAGGUGGAUAUUUAAGUGGGAUGUGAAAUACCCGGGCUCAACUUGGGUGCUGCAUUCCAAACUGGAUAUCUAGAGUGCAGGAGAGGAAAGUGGAAUUCCUAGUGUAGCAGUGAAAUGCGUAGAUAUUAGGAGGAACACCAGUGGCGAAGGCGGCUUUCUGGACUGUAACUGACACUGAGGCAUGAAAGCGUGGGGAGCAAACAGG